UCAGAACCGUUGCCGAAGAGUGAAGCGGUGGCUGCGAGGACGAAGAUGAUGCCGUUGAUGAUGAAAAGAGGGUUUAAAGUAGGGAGAAAGAAGCGAGCUCCGGUGAAGGAGAUGUUUGAUACUGAUCGGAGCAUCAGUGAUAUGACUCCGACUAAUCCUGAAGAGAUGAUCCAUGUCCACGAGCUUGUCAUUAGUUUUUUUUUUUUUCUUUAAGUUGUUGUGUCUCUCUUUUUUUUU
This 237-nucleotide long non-coding RNA is filed under the name Capsella grandiflora. Its description in RNAcentral is "long non-coding RNA (CGRA_LNC000646)". The record is from RNAcentral. Lineage: Eukaryota; Viridiplantae; Streptophyta; Magnoliopsida; Brassicales; Brassicaceae.